CAGCCGCCGCGGGAAAACGUAGGGGGCAAGCGUUGUCCGGAAUUAUUGGGCGUAAAGGGCUCGCAGGCGGUUUCUUAAGUCUGAUGUGAAAGCCCCCGGCUCAACCGGGGAGGGUCAUUGGAAACUGGGAAACUUGAGUGCAGAAGAGGAGAGUGGAAUUCCACGUGUAGCGGUGAAAUGCGUAGAGAUUAGGAAGAACACCAGUGGCGAAGGCGGCUUUUUGGCCUGUAACUGACACUGAGGCGCGAAAGCGUGGGGAGCAAACAGGAUUAGAUACCCGCGUAGUCCCUGUCUCUUAUAC
This 301-nucleotide ribosomal RNA is filed under the name uncultured bacterium. Its description in RNAcentral is "partial 16S ribosomal RNA". It matches the Rfam family "Bacterial small subunit ribosomal RNA", at positions 509 to 807 of the family's 1533-position model. The record is from RNAcentral.